Molecule: ribosomal RNA, 861 nt
Filed under: uncultured bacterium
Lineage: Bacteria
Description: bacterial SSU rRNA
Rfam family: Bacterial small subunit ribosomal RNA
Source: RNAcentral
CAAGUCGAGGGGCAGCAUGAAGUAGCAAUACUUUGAUGGCGACCGGCAAACGGGUGCGGAACACGUACACAACCUUCCUUUAAGUGGGGAAUAGCCCAGAGAAAUUUGGAUUAAUACCCCGUAACACAACGAAGUGGCAUCACUUUGUUGUUAUAGUUUCGGCGCUUAAUGAUGGGUGUGCGUAUGAUUAGAUAGUUGGCGAGGUAACGGCUCACCAAGUCUACGAUCAUUAGCUGAUGUGAGAGCAUGAUCAGCCACACGGGCACUGAGACACGGGCCCGACUCCUACGGGAGGCAGCAGUAAGGAAUAUUGGUCAAUGGACGCAAGUCUGAACCAGCCAUGCCGCGUGAAGGAUUAAGGUCCUCUGGAUUGUAAACUUCUUUUAUAUGGGACGAAAAAAGGUCUUUCUAGACCCCUUGACGGUACCAUAUGAAUAAGCACCGGCUAACUCCGUGCCAGCAGCCGCGGUAAUACGGAGGGUGCAAGCGUUAUCCGGAUUCACUGGGUUUAAAGGGUGCGUAGGCGGGCAGGUAAGUCAGUGGUGAAAUCCUGGAGCUCAACUCCAGAACUGCCAUUGAUACUAUCUGUCUUGAAUAUUGUGGAGGUAAGCGGAAUAUGUCAUGUAGCGGUGAAAUGCUUAGAUAUGACAUAGAACACCCAUUGCGAAGGCAGCUUACUACGCAUAUAUUGACGCUGAGGCACGAAAGCGUGGGGAUCAAACAGGAUUAGAUACCCUGGUAGUCCACGCCCUAAACUAUGGAUACUCGACAUAUGCGAUACACUGUAUGUGUCUGAGCGAAAGCAUUAAGUAUCCCACCUGGGAAGUACGUUCGCAAGAAUGAAACUCAAGGAAUUGGCGG